RNAcentral lists this ribosomal RNA (406 nucleotides) under Camaenidae sp. MV2. RNAcentral describes it as "partial 16S ribosomal RNA". It matches the Rfam family "Archaeal large subunit ribosomal RNA", at positions 1900 to 2656 of the family's 2987-position model. Lineage: Eukaryota; Metazoa; Mollusca; Gastropoda; Stylommatophora; Camaenidae. The record is from RNAcentral.
CAAAAACAUAGUUUAUGUGAACUACACAUAGUCAUUUCUGCUCAAUGAGGACUUAAAUAGCCGCAGUACCCUGACUGUGCAAAGGUAGCGUAAUCAUUUGUCUUUUAAUUAAAGUCUUGUAUCAACGAACAUAUGGGGACCCACUUUACCAGUGAUAACACGUGAACUUACUAAAAGGGUGCAAAAACCCUUAUUACUUAAUAGACGAGGAGACCCUAGAAAUUUUAACAAACGUUUUUGUUGGGGCAACAUGGUAACAACUAAACUUACUUUAUAUACACAAGAAACUGAUUUGACAGAAAAAAUUACUUUAGGGAUAACAGCAUAAUGUAUAAACGUUUGUGACCUCGAUGUUGGAUUAGGAAGUCAUAGCUUAAAAGGCGUUUGAUUUCGCUCUGUUCGAGCG